This 244-nucleotide ribosomal RNA is filed under the name uncultured bacterium. RNAcentral describes it as "partial 16S ribosomal RNA". It matches the Rfam family "Bacterial small subunit ribosomal RNA", at positions 524 to 767 of the family's 1533-position model. The record is from RNAcentral.
UACAGAGGGGGCAAGCGUUGUUCGGAAUUACUGGGCGUAAAGGGCGCGUAGGCGGCCUUCUAAGUCGAACGUGAAAUCCCCCGGGCUCAACCCCGGGACUGCGUCCGAUACUGGAAGGCUUGAAUCCGGGAGAGGAUGCGGAAUUCCAGGUGUAGCGGUGAAAUGCGUAGAUAUCUGGAGGAACACCGGUGGCGAAGGCGGCAUCCUGGACCGGUAUUGACGCUGAGGCGCGAAAGCCAGGGGA